RNAcentral lists this ribosomal RNA (450 nucleotides) under uncultured bacterium. RNAcentral describes it as "partial 16S ribosomal RNA". It matches the Rfam family "Bacterial small subunit ribosomal RNA", at positions 354 to 796 of the family's 1533-position model. The record is from RNAcentral.
GUGGGGAAUUUUGGACAAUGGGCGCAAGCCUGAUCCAGCAAUGCCGCGUGUGUGAAGAAGGCCUUCGGGUUGUAAAGCACUUUUGGCAGGAAAGAAAUAGUGCGUGCUAAUACCAUGCGCGAAUGACGGUACCUGCAGAAUAAGCACCGGCUAACUACGUGCCAGCAGCCGCGGUAAGACGUAGGGUGCAAGCGUUAAUCGGAAUUACUGGGCGUAAAGCGUGCGCAGGCGGUUUUGUAAGACAGGUGUGAAAUCCCCGGGCUCAACCUGGGAACUGCACUUGUGACUGCAAGGCUAGAGUGUGUCAGAGGGAGGUGGAAUUCCGCGUGUAGCAGUGAAAUGCGUAGAGAUGCGGAGGAACACCGAUGGCGAAGGCAGCCUCCUGGGAUAACACUGACGCUCAGGCACGAAAGCGUGGGGAGCAAACAGGAUUAGAAACCCUUGUAGUCC